CAACCCUCAAGCUCUGCUUGGUAUUGGGCACCGCCCUUCUUCGGGCGCGCCUCAAAGACCUCGGCGGUGGCUGUCUUGCCUCAAGCGUAGUAGAAUACACCUCGCUUCGGAGCGCAGGGCGUCGCCCGCCGGACGAACCUUCUGAACUUUUCUCAA
This 156-nucleotide unclassified non-coding RNA is filed under the name uncultured Macrophomina. RNAcentral's name for it is "sequence contains ITS2". The record is from RNAcentral. Lineage: Eukaryota; Fungi; Ascomycota; Dothideomycetes; Botryosphaeriales; Botryosphaeriaceae.